UCUAACACCCUCUCCCUGGCUCUGCCUCUGCUCGGGGCCCUACAUGGGGGCCUGCGGGGCCCUGCACGGUGGCCUGUGGGGUACAGCUCUCAUCACAUGGCCGAACUGACCUCUCCGGAAGGCGUCCGGCGGGAGGAAGGCCAUGUGCUCGCAGGGCACGUCUCGGGUCAGGACUUCCAGCAGGAAGUCUGUGUGUCCUAGUCCCUGUCCAGCCCUGCCAAGAGCAGACCUGCCUUGGAGCAGAGCAGAAGCACCUGUGCUUGCCCCCCCCAACCUGUGUGAGCCCUCUGAGCAGCAGAGCAGAGCCUGACCUGUGGGUACCUUGGUUGAAGUUCCAGCUCCAUCAUUUUCUUGCACUGGGGCAUCUGGCACGUCACCUAACCUCUUUGUGCUUUAGUUCUCUCUGCAAAUGGGAGUACAAGUGUUAGGCUGAGCCAUGUGAAAUUGCCAAAGUUUGAACACAAUGAAUGGGCCCACAAACACCACAAUUUCCUGUGGUUUAACAAAUCAGGUGUGAAG
Non-coding RNA from Microcebus murinus (gray mouse lemur), 519 nucleotides. NCBI's taxonomy places the organism in Eukaryota, Metazoa, Chordata, Mammalia, Primates, Cheirogaleidae. The record is from RefSeq and is a predicted model, not a curated record.